CACGUAGGGCGCAAGCGUUGUCCGGAAUUAUUGGGCGUAAAGAGCUCGUAGGCGGUCUGUUGCGUCCGCUGUGAAAACUCGGGGCUUAACCCCGAGCCUGCAGUGGAUACGGGCAGACUAGAGGUAGGUAGGGGAGAAUGGAAUUCCCGGUGUAGCGGUGAAAUGCGUAGAUAUCUGGAGGAACACCGGUGGCGAAGGCGGUUCUCUGGGCAUUACCUGACGCUGAGGAGCGAAAGUGUGGGGAGCGAACAGG
Molecule: ribosomal RNA, 253 nt
Filed under: uncultured bacterium
Lineage: Bacteria
Description: partial 16S ribosomal RNA
Rfam family: Bacterial small subunit ribosomal RNA
Source: RNAcentral